AGCAAAUAACAGGGGAGCCUGUGGAGCGGGCUGAGAAAAAGUAAUCGAACUUUGACCCUUGACCUGAUUUGGAUCAUGCCAACGUAGGGAGUUAGACUUGCACAGAA
This 107-nucleotide non-coding RNA is filed under the name Clostridiales bacterium. Its description in RNAcentral is "TPP". It matches the Rfam family "TPP riboswitch aptamer (THI element)". Rfam says of the family: Vitamin B(1) in its active form thiamin pyrophosphate (TPP) is an essential coenzyme that is synthesised by coupling of pyrimidine and thiazole moieties in bacteria. The previously detected thiamin-regulatory element, thi box was extended, resulting in a new, highly conserved RNA secondary structure, the THI element, which is widely distributed in eubacteria and also occurs in some archaea. The record is from RNAcentral. RNAcentral also lists the same sequence under 1 other name. Lineage: Bacteria; Bacillati; Bacillota; Clostridia; Eubacteriales.